GCAGCAACGCCGCGUGAGGGACGACGGCCUUCGGGUUGUAAACCUCUUUUAGCAAGGAAGAAGCGAAAGUGACGGUACUUGCAGAAAAAGCGCCGGCUAACUACGUGCCAGCAGCCGCGGUAAUACGUAGGGCGCAAGCGUUAUCCGGAAUUAUUGGGCGUAAAGAGCUCGUAGGCGGUUUGUCGCGUCUGCUGUGAAAACUGGGGGCUCAACCCCCAGCCUGCAGUGGGUACGGGCAGACUAGAGUGCGGUAGGGGAGAUUGGAAUUCCUGGUGUAGCGGUGGAAUGCGCAGAUAUCAGGAGGAACACCGAUGGCGAAGGCAGAUCUCUGGGCCGUAACUGACGCUGAGGAGCGAAAGGGUGGGGAGCAAACAGGCUUAGAUACCCUGGUAGUCCACCCCGUAAACGUUGGGAACUAGUUGUGGGGUCCAUUCCACGGAUUCCGUGACGCAGCUAACGCAUUAAGUUCCCCGCCUGGGGAGUACGGCCGCAAGGCUAAAACUCAAAGGAAUUGACGGGGACCCGCACAAGCGGCGGAGCAUGCGGAUUAAUUCGAUGCAACGCGAAGAACCUUACCAAGGCUUGACAUACACGAGAACGCUGCAGAAAUGUAGAACUCUUUG
Molecule: ribosomal RNA, 623 nt
Filed under: Microbacterium sp. Se2Pt_378
Lineage: Bacteria; Bacillati; Actinomycetota; Actinomycetes; Micrococcales; Microbacteriaceae
Description: bacterial SSU rRNA
Rfam family: Bacterial small subunit ribosomal RNA
Source: RNAcentral